Molecule: ribosomal RNA, 2874 nt
Filed under: Salmonella sp. zj-f78
Lineage: Bacteria; Pseudomonadati; Pseudomonadota; Gammaproteobacteria; Enterobacterales; Enterobacteriaceae
Description: partial 23S ribosomal RNA
Rfam family: Bacterial large subunit ribosomal RNA
Source: RNAcentral
UGGAUCCGCUGGCCGUCAGUGGCGAUGCAGGGCGUGCUAAUCUGCGAUAAGCGCCGGUAAGGUGAUAUGAACCGUUAUAACCGGGGAUACCCGAAUGGGGAAACCCAGUGUGACUUGUCACACUAUCAUUAACUGAAUCCAUAGGUUAAUGAGGCGAACCGGGGGAACUGAAACAUCUAAGUACCCCGAGGAAAAGAAAUCAACCGAGAUUCCCCCAGUAGCGGCGAGCGAACGGGGAGGAGCCCAGAGCCUGAAUCAGCAUGUGUGUUAGUGGAAGCGUCUGGAAAGGCGCGCGAUACAGGGUGACAGCCCCGUACACAAAAGCGCAUGUGCUGUGAGCUCGAUGAGUAGGGCGGGACACGUGGUAUCCUGUCUGAAUAUGGGGGGACCAUCCUCCAAGGCUAAAUACUCCUGACUGACCGAUAGUGAACCAGUACCGUGAGGGAAAGGCGAAAAGAACCCCGGCGAGGGGAGUGAAAAAGAACCUGAAACCGUGUACGUACAAGCAGUGGGAGCNNNNNNNNGUGACUGCGUACCUUUUGUAUAAUGGGUCAGCGACUUAUAUUCUGUAGCAAGGUUAACCGAAUAGGGGAGCCGGAGGGAAACCGAGUCUUAAUUGGGCGUUAAGUUGCAGGGUAUAGACCCGAAACCCGGUGAUCUAGCCAUGGGCAGGUUGAAGGUUGGGUAACACUAACUGGAGGACCGAACCGACUAAUGUUGAAAAAUUAGCGGAUGACCUGUGGCUGGGGGUGAAAGGCCAAUCAAACCGGGAGAUAGCUGGUUCUCCCCGAAAGCUAUUUAGGUAGCGCCUCGUGAAUUCAUCUCCGGGGGUAGAGCACUGUUUCGGCUAGGGGGCCAUCCCGGCUUACCAACCCGAUGCAAACUGCGAAUACCGGAGAAUGUUAUCACGGGAGACACACGGCGGGUGCUAACGUCCGUCGUGAAGAGGGAAACAACCCAGACCGCCAGCUAAGGUCCCAAAGUCAUGGUUAAGUGGGAAACGAUGUGGGAAGGCCCAGACAGCCAGGAUGUUGGCUUAGAAGCAGCCAUCAUUUAAAGAAAGCGUAAUAGCUCACUGGUCGAGUCGGCCUGCGCGGAAGAUGUAACGGGGCUAAACCAUGCACCGAAGCUGCGGCAGCGANNNNNNNNNNNNNNNNNNNNNNNNNNNNNNNNNNNNNNNNNNNNNNNNNNNNUGCUGGAGGUAUCAGAAGUGCGAAUGCUGACAUAAGUAACGAUAAAGCGGGUGAAAAGCCCGCUCGCCGGAAGACCAAGGGUUCCUGUCCAACGUUAAUCGGGGCAGGGUGAGUCGACCCCUAAGGCGAGGCCGAAAGGCGUAGUCGAUGGGAAACGGGUUAAUAUUCCCGUACUUGGUGUUACUGCGAAGGGGGGACGGAGAAGGCUAUGUUGGCCGGGCGACGGUUGUCCCGGUUUAAGCGUGUAGGCUGGUUUUCCAGGCAAAUCCGGAAAAUCAAGGCUGAGGCGUGAUGACGAGGCACUACGGUGCUGAAGCAACAAAUGCCCUGCUUCCAGGAAAAGCCUCUAAGCAUCAGGUAACAUCAAAUCGUACCCCAAACCGACACAGGUGGUCAGGUAGAGAAUACCAAGGCGCUUGAGAGAACUCGGGUGAAGGAACUAGGCAAAAUGGUGCCGUAACUUCGGGAGAAGGCACGCUGACACGUAGGUGAAGUGAUUUACUCAUGGAGCUGAAGUCAGUCGAAGAUACCAGCUGGCUGCAACUGUUUAUUAAAAACACAGCACUGUGCAAACACGAAAGUGGACGUAUACGGUGUGACGCCUGCCCGGUGCCGGAAGGUUAAUUGAUGGGGUCAGCGCAAGCGAAGCUCCUGAUCGAAGCCCCGGUAAACGGCGGCCGUAACUAUAACGGUCCUAAGGUAGCGAAAUUCCUUGUCGGGUAAGUUCCGACCUGCACGAAUGGCGUAAUGAUGGCCAGGCUGUCUCCACCCGAGACUCAGUGAAAUUGAACUCGCUGUGAAGAUGCAGUGUACCCGCGGCAAGACGGAAAGACCCCGUGAACCUUUACUAUAGCUUGACACUGAACAUUGAGCCUUGAUGUGUAGGAUAGGUGGGAGGCUUUGAAGUGUGGACGCCAGUCUGCAUGGAGCCGACCUUGAAAUACCACCCUUUAAUGUUUGAUGUUCUAACGUGGACCCGUAAUCCGGGUUGCGGACAGUGUCUGGUGGGUAGUUUGACUGGGGCGGUCUCCUCCUAAAGAGUAACGGAGGAGCACGAAGGUUGGCUAAUCCUGGUCGGACAUCAGGAGGUUAGUGCAAUGGCAUAAGCCAGCUUGACUGCGAGCGUGACGGCGCGAGCAGGUGCGAAAGCAGGUCAUAGUGAUCCGGUGGUUCUGAAUGGAAGGGCCAUCGCUCAACGGAUAAAAGGUACUCCGGGGAUAACAGGCUGAUACCGCCCAAGAGUUCAUAUCGACGGCGGUGUUUGGCACCUCGAUGUCGGCUCAUCACAUCCUGGGGCUGAAGUAGGUCCCAAGGGUAUGGCUGUUCGCCAUUUAAAGUGGUACGCGAGCUGGGUUUAGAACGUCGUGAGACAGUUCGGUCCCUAUCUGCCGUGGGCGCUGGAGAACUGAGGGGGGCUGCUCCUAGUACGAGAGGACCGGAGUGGACGCAUCACUGGUGUUCGGGUUGUCAUGCCAAUGGCACUGCCCGGUAGCUAAAUGCGGAAGAGAUAAGUGCUGAAAGCAUCUAAGCACGAAACUUGCCCCGAGAUGAGUUCUCCCUGAGACUAAGAGUCUCCUGAAGGAACGUUGAAGACGACGACGUUGAUAGGCCGGGUGUGUAAGCGCAGCGAUGCGUUGAGCUAACCGGUACUAAUGAACCGUGAGGCUAAACCUUACAAAGC